UACGUAGGGGGCAAGCGUUAUCCGGAUUUACUGGGUGUAAAGGGAGCGUAGACGGCAUGACAAGCCAGAUGUGAAAGCCCGGGGCUCAACCCCGGGACUGCAUUUGGAACUGUCAGGCUAGAGUGUCGGAGAGGAAAGCGGAAUUCCUAGUGUAGCGGUGAAAUGCGUAGAUAUUAGGAGGAACACCAGUGGCGAAGGCGGCUUUCUGGACGAUGACUGACGUUGAGGCUCGAAAGCGUGGGGAGCAAACAGG
RNAcentral lists this ribosomal RNA (253 nucleotides) under Mediterraneibacter gnavus ATCC 29149. RNAcentral describes it as "[Ruminococcus] gnavus ATCC 29149 partial 16S ribosomal RNA". It matches the Rfam family "Bacterial small subunit ribosomal RNA", at positions 524 to 776 of the family's 1533-position model. Lineage: Bacteria; Bacillati; Bacillota; Clostridia; Lachnospirales; Lachnospiraceae. The record is from RNAcentral.